AGCCACUGUUCUCUAAGUUCUUCCUCUGUCUCUCUUUGAGCACUCAUCAGUCAUUAAAACCUCUUCCUCUCAUGACCAUCUCAUGGAAACCUUCCCUUCCUCUUCUUUGCACUAUCUUCAAAUACCAUUUUUGAAAAAAACUUUGAAAAAAAAUCUUUUUCUUUAUUUCUGUUUCUACUUCUCCUCCUCCUUCCAAUGAAACCCUUCCCAAAGCACCAUCACUAGCCUUCAAAAAGGUCUCGCUUAGGUCUCCCAUACUAGGUGUUGCGGCUAAUUUUUUUGUUAACGAAGUGGGCAGGGGUCUCUAUCUUUGUGGGUGUGUUGCCCUUCCGGGUGCUCUUGACCUAGCGAGUCUAUUAAUAAGAAAAUAAAAAUUGGCAUGUUUCGAGCGGAAGUGGGAAAGAGGAAGAGCUCAACUGUGAGUAUUUCCCUUUCAGGGACGUGGGACAGGAGAUGAUUUUCUGAGUUUGCCCUGUUGGCUUGCCCAAUGGUCAUAGUGCCUCAUAUCACAAUUUAAUUUGAACUCUUCUCUUUCAAGGAUUCAUUCAGGGAUUAGAGUGGAAUGGAAAUUUCACCUAUGCUCGCCAUAUCUAUCUGAAAUUCAUAUAUAUGCUGAUUGUUAUUAUUUUCAAUGACAAAGCCUUUGAUUUAGUAUGACAGUGUGUGAUUGGCAGCAGCCUUAGAGCUAGGCAAUGAGCCUUUUAAAGGUUUUCUAUUUUCUUCUCUGUUUUAUUUGUUUUAGUUUAUUUUAUGGCUCCUCUCAAUACGUGGGCUUGAUAAAGAGUGUAAAUUUGUUCGAGUCCCAAGGGGGCCUCAUUAUAUUCUCUCAAGUAUGAUUUUGAGUAUCCCAUUUUGUGGCA
Long non-coding RNA from Hevea brasiliensis (rubber tree), 860 nucleotides. RefSeq lists it as uncharacterized. The record is from RefSeq and is a predicted model, not a curated record. Lineage: Eukaryota; Viridiplantae; Streptophyta; Magnoliopsida; Malpighiales; Euphorbiaceae. The transcript has 2 exons.